CCCGCCCGGGCUGCUCGCCCCGCCCCCGCGCGGCGCUGGGAGGCGGGAGCUGUCUCUGAGAACCUGCGGGAGAGCGCCCGGGCUUGCUGCUUCCCGGACCCGCGCGUCUCUCGAGCACCCUCGUCCCACCACCUUGUGAGGCCGUAGUGUUAUUUUUAUUUUUUAGAUCAGCAGACUGAGACUCGAGGUGACGUCACUCCGCAGAGAGGUUAGAGCACAGCAGACUGAGCCACCCAGAACUGGCCCCUCCGGUGGACCAGCCCCUGCGGAUUCACAGACCACUGGUCCUGGAAGGGACCUUGUCAAGCAGGCCCAUAAGGUAAUCCCUCCCCGGAAAGAGAAGAUCACAGAUUUUGUCAUAUUAAAUACAUUGUAGAAAUUCAUGGUAGCAGGGGCAAGAUCAUUUAAACAAAACAGAAAGUUUCAGAGAGAGAAAAAGCCAAGGACAAAGAUUAAUCAUUUUUCUGCUUAAAAAAAAUGGCUUUGAUUUGCAACCAUGGAAUGCUCCACUGUUUCUCUUCUCUUCAAAGACAUCUACUGAAAGGAUUCCUUAACCUUACCAAGUGGCCAAAAUACUUUUCUGAGAAGAGUCACAGAGCAUAGGCCCCCCUAGGGUACACAGAGAUUUCAUUAGUCCCUAGAUGUUUCCUGAUCCUUUUAAAAACUGGUUAAAUUCAGAGACUCUAGGCAAUUACUUCUUUCAGAACCUGUGAGGCAAAAACGAAAGAAGAAGGCAGGACACGCAGUGUAACAAACCUUGGAAUGGUAAGUAGGAAAUAUGAGUUAGUUUUUUGGCUAAGCUAUGAAUUUACCUUGUGCCUGCCAGAAAUCACUCAGUCUUUUGUGACUGUAAAUUUUCUGUAAGUGUUAAUUGGUUUGGUUUAUUAUUGCAAGAAGCAAGGGAGCAAUGUUGUGUAUUAUAAUUUCAUUGUGUCAAUUUUGCCAAAUUAUCUUGCAUUUUGUUAUUCUAUGAACUCAUAAUGGGAUAAGGAGUAUAGGCUUUGAUUCAGAACAUAUGUGAUGUUGCUAUAAAUGCUUCAUGGAAAACCCUAAAUAUAUUUUGAAGCCUACAUAGUCAAAA
RNAcentral lists this long non-coding RNA (1081 nucleotides) under Homo sapiens (human). RNAcentral's name for it is "novel transcript". The record is from RNAcentral. Lineage: Eukaryota; Metazoa; Chordata; Mammalia; Primates; Hominidae.